UACGUAGGUGGCGAGCGUUAUCCGGAUUUAUUGGGCGUAAAGGGUGCGCAGACGGUUUGUUAAGUCUAAGAUGAAAGCCCGGAGCUUAACUCCGGUUUGUUUUAGAAACUGGCAGGCUUGAGUAUGGUAGAGGCAAAUGGAAUUCCUAGUGUAGCGGUGGAAUGCGUAGAUAUUAGGAGGAACACCAGUGGCGAAGGCGGUUUGCUGGGCCAUUACUGACGUUCAUGCACGAAAGCGUGGGGAGC
Molecule: ribosomal RNA, 245 nt
Filed under: uncultured Bacillota bacterium
Lineage: Bacteria; Bacillati; Bacillota
Description: uncultured Firmicutes bacterium partial 16S ribosomal RNA
Rfam family: Bacterial small subunit ribosomal RNA
Source: RNAcentral